RNAcentral lists this unclassified non-coding RNA (4202 nucleotides) under Hevea brasiliensis (rubber tree). Lineage: Eukaryota; Viridiplantae; Streptophyta; Magnoliopsida; Malpighiales; Euphorbiaceae. The record is from RNAcentral.
CACAACCUCAACCACAAGAUGCUACAGUCCAUGAAUAUAAGACGCGUUCAUAGGUUAAUCAAAAUCCUGUAAUGGAUUUCCAGAGCAUCACACAGAUUGAUGUUCCAAAGACAACAAUAGACUCCUCUUACAAACCUAAUACUAGUAUUCAAACUACAAAUACUAGCAAGUCCAACAGUUAUAUUCAACAGUUGAACCAAUCACCCUUAAACCUCAAAGGUUUCGCUGCAACAAGAGGAGAGGAGACAUUACUGCAAAUUAUUUUCUCAUGAAACUUGCACAUAAUUCCUAUAUUAGAACAUGAGUUAAAAUUCUAUACCACACAAAGUUUAAAUUAUACAAAACAGGGCCUAGUAAUUUUGAAGCAUAUGAUUCCUCAAAAAAUUAUGAACAAGCAAUAGGAUGGCAAAUUAAAUGAUCACAACUUCUGUUCAUGUGUAUAUUUAAUAUCGACAAACAAAAUGCACUGCUACAAAAUAUAAAAUUAGGCAUUCCUCAUAGAGAAGCAAACCUUUGAUUCUUGUCGCAAAAAAUGCCUCUCUCCUGCUGAGCUCCGACCAAUUUGAUAUCCCACAAGCUAUCUCAGGUCAACUGUCUUCAUCUUCCUAUGUUUCUCAAAAUUUAUCACAGAUUAUCAGUCUUGCUUUUCUCAUGUUCAUAACCUGAUGCUUUACCAGUCCUACCAAUCAAAUAUGGUUCUGGCAAGGAAUUGUCAUUGUGCAUGUCAAGACCUUGAUAAGAUCGAUUAGCAAAGUACUCAGCUCCUGAUUUUAUUGUUCUCUUGACAAGUGAAGCAGAAUUUGUGUCAUGUAAUUGCAGGGCUUUCUCCGUUGCAUUCACUAAAGCAAGAGCUCCAUCAUCUUCUUCAAUGCUCUCUUGCAAAUCAAAAUCUUCUACAUAUCUGCCUUGCAUGAAAGAAAACCUUGCUUCUUCAGAUGUGUCUUUUGCUUCCACUGGAGAUGAAUUAAUCAAAUCCCGAAAUUCCAUCACAUAUUCUCCUGACCAUUGUCUUCCUCUGCCAAAAGCUACCAUGGCUUCAAAUGGAGUGAUAACUGGAGCUAAGAACUCUUUACUAUCCAAGAGAGCAGUUUGAGCACAGGAAACAUAGAUGAAAACAUCACACUCAGGAAAGUUGGCAAGUUUUGCAGGGUUUGGUCUUCCCAUUACAAGAGUGUAAGCCUUUUUCCCUGCUGAAGUGAUUAGUUCUUUCAUCUGAUGAAUCAUGUCAAGGUAACCAGCUACACCAAGAGUUCCCACCAAAAUUCCAACAAUGUUAGCAUCUUUUGCCUUCUCCACCAGGUAAUAUCUACGCUUCAGAAUCCUUCUCUGUUGAGAUAGAUCUGUCACCAAGCGAUUUUCUAGUGCAUCAUAUCUGACUAUUUCACAGCCAUUAAAUGUCAGGACGACAUUUGCAAAUGCUGAAUUGCUAGAACCAACCCAUACAAGUAAAUAGUCCUCCAUCCUGUGUCCAUUAGGUAACUCCCAGAUCAAACCUCCAAUUCUAUAGCUAGAACCAGCUGCUGCCUCAACUUCUACACUAGCACUGUAGUCACCAACUGGUCUUGGAAGCCCAACAGGAUUUUUUUGAUCAUCAGAAGGAUUUAUUACAGAACAAACGACAUCAGCAAAAUGGAUGUCCUGAUGCUUGGGCCCAGAUUGCAUUGAUGAUAAUGUCACCAGCUCUUCUCUAACAUGUGGGAUUGCAUGCACAUAUUCCAGUCCAUAAAGGACCUAUAUUGAAAGAGAAAAUAAGGAAAAGUUACUAUGCACAGAUAUAUAGUUGAUAGGCAAUAAGCAAUGUUAAAAAGGUUUAAUUCAUUAAGAAACAUUGGGUAGUUACAGCAUAUAAAGGAAAAGGAAAACAAAGGACUAUGGAUACAAAAAUUUCAUCCAUACGUCACAACAUGAACAUUUAAAAAUAAUUACUCUGCAAAAUGAUGUAGGCUUGGAGAAUAUAAAAUCCUAUUAAGCUGGGGUUUUGUUUAACAUUUUAACACAAAGUUGGUAAGAUAUCAUGUCAAUUAAAUAUCCAAGAAAAAAAAUGAGGUUACUUAAAAUCUAUUCAGAAUCAGACAUGGAGAAAAUAAAUUAAUUUAACUAAAUAAAAAUAAAUUCUUUCAACCAUAGAAUAACAUCAGAGCAUCACAUAACAAAAGUAUCAGUACAGCUAUAUCAACUGUAAUUAACAGCUAUAUUAAAAUCUUACUAAGCUAAGGCAUGCUCAUCAAAUGGAGGUGUACACUAGCUUUACCGGAAGGUAAUGCAUUCCACCAACUACGUGCAACUAAUCUCUUUCAAGGGGGUGCCACUGCCACCACCAACUACGUGCGACUAAUCAUGUCUGCUUGUCCUUCAGAGUUCAGACGCUCCAGCCUCCAGUACAAUUGCAUUAUUCAAUGCACAAAAUAGACACUUAUAAUGGCAAAUGCUAAACUAACAUGUCCAAAUUUUUUAUUCAUAUUCAUUAUUACCACACCAUUAAAUCAGUCAAGAAGUGAAGAUAAAGAAUUUAUUUAUUAUACCACAAUAGGCUUGCUGCUGGUCGAGGCAUCAUCUGAUAAAAUUUUAGCACAACUGGAUAUGCUAAUGGAAGCCUUUCCAAAAACAAAGAAUGCCUGAAGGGUUGAUGUCCCUUUAAUCUCCUUCACUUCAAAACUAACUUAUCUAUUUGAUGAUCCAUGCUCUUGAACUCAAAAAUUUGCAGAGAAAUGAAUGAUUUUACUUGAGUUGGUUGUAGAGAAAAUUGAGUGAGUUAAGAGAAAAUGACUUGGUUGCCUAGAGAGAAAAUGAAAAGGGCUAAAAUGAACGAGCUAAUAUAGUUUUUUUUUUCCCAAAAAAAGGUUUUCUAUACUGCAUUUCACAUGAAAGAGAUUAAAAAAAGCUAAGAAUUCUUAGCGAGAAAAGUAAUAGCCAUCACGAUGUUACUUAACAGUCAAUAACAACCAUAACAGCCUUUACAAUUACAAUUUACAAAUUCAAAAAUCAUUAAAUAACAGUGAUAACGGUUACAUAACGGCCAUUAUUUAAACGCAUAUUUGAUACCAUAUGCAUGAGGAAUCAACAAUAUUGCCCAAGAAAAUGUAGGAAGUGCCAUAAUCCAAAAUAUAUGAUAACAAUUUACCAGAGAUGAAGAUGAUUUUGCUCUUAAGAAACAUUCAACACUGCUUCUAUUUUCCGACCCAGAACCUAACUCCUCAUCAGCGCACCUCAAAAAAUUCAUCUCCAAUUAAAUGCAUAUUACUCCAUCCAUCAUGUUCUGGUCUUUUUAGUGCAAACUUUUCCCUCCUUUUCUUCAAAUGCAUGUCUUAUUGCUAGAAACAAACUUUUCCCUCAAUGGUUUUAUCGCUAGCAUAUUAAAAAAAAAAUCUGGAAUGGAGAAUUAUGGUAAAUAGAGUGUGAAAAUUGUUCUACACAAUGUCAUAUCAUGUCAAGCCUUUUCGUCAGUGUAGUUUUUCCCUGUGUGGGACAAGAGAGAAGGAAGUUGGGGAGGAAAACAUUUAUGGCAUAAAACAUCCCCUCCCAAUCCUAGCUGAAAAAGAGAACUGAACAGUAGAUGUCCACUGAAAACUCAAAAUAUACCAUUGACCAUGAUAAAAAGUAUAAAACAGUAGAUCAGUCAGGAAAUUAAGUAGAAUUUAACAUAAAAUUUCGAAAGCCUUGCUAUGUACCAUGUUAAAAUACAUUACAAGUAUGGCAUUAGCAGAGGCACUAAUUAAUCAUUCCCCAAAUAGUUUUGACAAAAUUUGCCAAUGUGACGUAUCAUUGUUCUAGGAACCUUCAGGCACCAGCAAUCUUCAUACAUGUACAAGCAUGGGAAUGGGCCUAAAAUCCAUUACUGUCACAGCUUUUAAAUGUCAGAGACAAAUGUAAAGGAUCGAAUUUCACCCUCAAAUUCUAAGGUACACGCGGCACAUGCAUAAAACUAAUAGUGUUUGAUUAAGCAAUGAAUAAUAAAGGUAAAGGCAAGUAAUCAAUUGUUUUAUGCCUCACGUAUGUUUAAUGAAUUAAACAUGAAAAGUAAGACAGAAUCCCCACGCGUUAUCAAUUUCAAGCCAUCAUUUUUGCAUGCUAUCCAGGUUAUGUUACAGAUAGUUCAACCGGUUUUACAGCAACAUGAGUGAGAGAGGAAGCGAGGGAUGGAAGGCGAGACAAAGCCAUAGGUGAGGACAAGAAUCUGACCUUAAUUUUUCCAAUGGUACACA